RNAcentral lists this ribosomal RNA (253 nucleotides) under uncultured bacterium. RNAcentral's name for it is "partial 16S ribosomal RNA". It matches the Rfam family "Bacterial small subunit ribosomal RNA", at positions 524 to 776 of the family's 1533-position model. The record is from RNAcentral.
UACAGAGGUCUCAAGCGUUGUUCGGAUUCAUUGGGCGUAAAGGGCGCGUAGGCUGCGGGGCAAGUCGGGUGUGAAAUCUCAGAGCUCAACUCUGAAACUGCACUCGAUACUGCUUUGCUUGAGGACUGGAGAGGAGAUUGGAAUUCACGGUGUAGCAGUGAAAUGCGUAGAUAUCGUGAGGAACACCGAUGGCGAAGGCAGGUCUCUGGGCAUUAACUGACGCUGAGGAGCGAAAGCAUGGGGAGCGAACAGG